UCGAGCGAAGCAAUGAAUACGAUUCUUCGGAUGAGGAUUCUUGUGACUGAGCGGCGGACGGGUGAGUAACGCGUGGGCAACCUGCCUUACACAGGGGGAUAACAGUUAGAAAUGACUGCUAAUACCGCAUAAGACCACAAAACCGCAUGGUUUGGUGGUAAAAACUCCGGUGGUGUAAGAUGGGCCCGCGUCUGAUUAGGUAGUUGGUGGGGUAACGGCCUACCAAGCCGACGAUCAGUAGCCGACCUGAGAGGGUGACCGGCCACAUUGGGACUGAGACACGGCCCAGACUCCUACGGGAGGCAGCAGUGGGGAAUAUUGCACAAUGGGGGAAACCCUGAUGCAGCGACGCCGCGUGAGCGAUGAAGUAUUUCGGUAUGUAAAGCUCUAUCAGCAGGGAAGAAAAUGACGGUACCUGACUAAGGAGCCCCGGCUAACUACGUGCCAGCAGCCGCGGUAAUACGUAGGGGGCAAGCGUUAUCCGGAUUUACUGGGUGUAAAGGGAGCGUAGACGGCUUGGCAAGCCAGAUGUGAAAGGCUGGGGCUCAACCCCAGGACUGCAUUUGGAACUGUCAUGCUAGAGUGUCGGAGAGGCAGGCGGAAUUCCUAGUGUAGCGGUGAAAUGCGUAGAUAUUAGGAGGAAUACCAGUGGCGAAGGCGGCCUGCUGGACGAUGACUGACGUUGAGGCUCGAAAGCGUGGGGAGCAAACAGGAUUAAAUACCCUGGUAGUCCACGCCGUAAAC
RNAcentral lists this ribosomal RNA (744 nucleotides) under uncultured bacterium. Its description in RNAcentral is "bacterial SSU rRNA". It matches the Rfam family "Bacterial small subunit ribosomal RNA", at positions 62 to 807 of the family's 1533-position model. The record is from RNAcentral.